UGCGCCAUCUGUUAAGGACCGCUCAUGAGUGUUCUCAUUUUUUCACACACCAUCUGUUAUGGACCUUAGAUGUCAAUACACUGUCUUGUCCACUGUGGGGCGUGAAGGAAGGAAAUUGCAAGAACCUGUUCUUUCAGUCCUUGGACCCUAUCUUGGUAUAUGGCACCAUAUUUACCAGGAUAAUUAUUACAAUGCUACAUCUACUGCUGAAUUGCUGCUACAGAACAAAACUAGAGUCUGUGGGACUAUUAGGGAGAGUAGAGGUUUACCGCCAAAUUUGAAAAUGAAAACAUCAAGAAUGAAGAAAGGUGACAUAAUAUUUUCCAGAAAAGGCAAUAUUCUUCUUCUAACAUGGAAAGACAAGCGGGUUGUCCAAAUGAUAUCAACGAUCCAUGACACUUCUGUCUCGACAACAGGAAAAAGAAAAUAGAAAAACGGGAGAGAAUAUUGUAAAACCUACCUGCAUCAAGGAAUACAAUGCCCACAUGAAAGGCGUUGACCGUGCGGAUCAAUUCCUUUCAUGUUGUUCCAUUCUAAGGAAAACGAUGAAAUGGACAAAAAAAAAA
Molecule: long non-coding RNA, 566 nt
Organism: Myotis davidii
Lineage: Eukaryota; Metazoa; Chordata; Mammalia; Chiroptera; Vespertilionidae
Exons: 2
Source: RefSeq, a predicted model, not a curated record